GCCCCCCUUUCUCCGAGGGGUUGCUGGUCCGGACGACCCGGCCAGUCUCGGCGGGAGCCGGGGCCCCUUGAGAUACUGCGGCGGUUCGGUUGCUCGGUUUCGUGGCUUCCCUGCCGCCGUCGAGCUGGUGUCGCCCCCUUGCCCGCCCUGGAGUCGGACUGUGUAGCGGGGCGCCCAGCGAGUUCCAGGCCCAGCGGGCCAGAGUAGCAGUCGCGGUCGUGGUUAUCUGGACGCUGUAGUUUUUGUUUCUGAAUCCCAGAACUGGGUCCUGACUCCCUAGAGAAAUUGAGGGUGCCGAGAUGAGUUUCCAGUGCUGACCAGUGCAGCUGUAUUUUGCUAAAAGCAGUAAGAAUUGAUGACUUCCUGUGAACAUCGAGCCUACAGACGUAUGCAAAGCAGUAUUUGGAAUCCAUAGCUUCCUCUAGGUGCAACCUGGCAAUAUCUCACAUCAGGCCCAUGGAGCUUGCUUCUCACUCUCCACCUGGGGUUUGUCUGAUGACUCCAUAGGGAAGAACAGUGUAGAAACUGACUCUGGUUCUCAUGCUUAUGCAACUCAGGAGUACUGAGGCUCAUGGCUUUGGACAGGGAAGACUUUGAGCAAUCGGGAUGGGAUCCAACUGAUAACUACUACCCUCCUUUUAUCUCUAAGUAACAGCCUGGAGAUGUAUCUUAGGCAACUCCUUACCAGUCCCAGUGGAUCCUACAGUAAGUCACCUACAGUAUUGUCCAACUUGAUAAUGCAUCUUUGCGGUGGUUUUUCGUCUUCCCUAUUCCCACACAUCCCUUG
Suricata suricatta (meerkat) is the source of this 787-nucleotide long non-coding RNA. RefSeq lists it as uncharacterized. Lineage: Eukaryota; Metazoa; Chordata; Mammalia; Carnivora; Herpestidae. The record is from RefSeq and is a predicted model, not a curated record. The transcript is spliced from 3 exons.